UACGUAGGGCGCAAGCGUUGCCCGGAAUUAUUGGGCGUAAAGAGCUCGUAGGCGGCCUGUUACGUCUGCUGUGAAAUCCCGGGGCUUAACCCCGGGCGUGCAGUGGAUACGGGCAGGCUGGAGGCAGGCAGGGGAGAACGGAAUUCCCGGUGUAGCGGUGAAAUGCGCAGAUAUCGGGAGGAACACCGGUGGCGAAGGCGGUUCUCUGGGCCUGUACUGACGCUGAGGAGCGAAAGCGUGGGGAGCGAACAGG
Molecule: ribosomal RNA, 253 nt
Filed under: uncultured bacterium
Lineage: Bacteria
Description: partial 16S ribosomal RNA
Rfam family: Bacterial small subunit ribosomal RNA
Source: RNAcentral